Molecule: ribosomal RNA, 1211 nt
Filed under: Coprobacillus sp. OF03-2AA
Lineage: Bacteria; Bacillati; Bacillota; Erysipelotrichia; Erysipelotrichales; Coprobacillaceae
Description: partial 23S ribosomal RNA
Rfam family: Bacterial large subunit ribosomal RNA
Source: RNAcentral
AGGUAAAGCAAGAAAGGGCGUAUGGGGAAUGCCUAGGCACACUCCGGCGAAGAAGGACGCAGCAAACAGCGAAAUGCGACGGUGAGCGGUAAGCACGUGAAGAGCCGUCGAUAUCCGAAUGGGGGAACCCACACGGAGUCAUAUCCGUGUAUCACAUGUCGAAUACAUAGACAUGAUGAGGCGAGACGCAGGGAACUGAAACAUCUAAGUACCUGCAGGAAGAGAAAAUAAGAAUGAUUUUCUGAGUAGCGGCGAGCGAAAGGGAAAGAGCCCAAACCGAUUUUAGGAUCGGGGUAGUAGGAUCAUCGAGGAAUCUGACAGAGGAUCAUAGAGGAAUCACAUGGGAAGGUGAGCGAGAGAGGGUGAGAGCCCCGUACUCGAAAUGAGAGACUGGAGAGAGAUGACACCUGAGUAGGGCGGGACACGAGAAAUCCUGUCUGAAUCAGCCGGGACCAUCCGGCAAGGCUAAAUACGAGAGAGUGACCGAUAGUGAACCAGUACCGUGAGGGAAAGGUGAAAAGAACCCCGGGAGGGGAGUGAAAGAGAACCUGAAACCAUAUGCCUACAAGAAGUCAGAGCCCGUUAAAGGGUGAUGGCGUGCCUUUUGUAGAAUGAACCGGCGAGUUACUGUAUGGAGCGAGGUUAAGCAGGAUAUGCGGAGCCGAAGCGAAAGCGAGUCUUAAGAGGGCGCGAGUUGCAUGCAGUAGACCCGAAACCGGGUGAUCUAGCCAUGACCAGGUUGAAGUUGGGGUAAAACCCGAUGGAGGACCGAACCGACCCCCGUUGAAACGUUGGCGGAUGAGUUGUGGCUAGGGGUGAAAUUCCAAUCGAACCCGGAGAUAGCUGGUUCUCCCCGAAAUAGCUUUAGGGCUAGCGUCGAGAGAAGAGUUGCGUGAAGGUAGAGCACUGAAUAUGUGAUGGCCCCAUCUCGGGGUACUGAGCAUAAUCAAACUGCGAAUGUCACGCCAACAUGCUCGGCAGUCAGACAGCGGGUGAUAAGGUCCGUUGUCAAGAGGGAAACAGCCCAGACCAUCAGCUAAGGUCCCAAAAUGUAUGCUAAGUGGAAAAGGAUGUGGAGAUGUACAGACAACUAGGAGGUUGGCUCAGAAGCAGCCAUCCUUUAAAGAGUGCGUAACAGCUCACUAGUCGAAUGACUCUGCGCCGAUAAUUUACCGGGGCUAAGCAUACUACCGAAGCUAUGGAUCCCAAGG